Molecule: long non-coding RNA, 348 nt
Organism: Myotis lucifugus (little brown bat)
Lineage: Eukaryota; Metazoa; Chordata; Mammalia; Chiroptera; Vespertilionidae
Exons: 3
Source: RefSeq, a predicted model, not a curated record
GAAACCAACAUUUUAAGGGUGACCUCCAGUCACUUGCUAUGUAAUUAACAGGCUGAUGUACAGAUCACCACCACGAGUCAUCGGAGCUGGCAUUGGAGACAAAAGCUGUUGCUGGCCCUGUGCUGCCAGAUCUUUCCAGUCCAAAACCAAGUGUGCCUUUAUGUCUUCAUGCAUAAUAGAAAGAGACGGUUAAGGAAGGGAAGAGAGUGAAUUAACGGCCAAAACUGGAAUCUUGUCUCUGUCACUACUAAUGCCUGAUGAAAGUCAAGUUAACCUCAUUCCUAGUUACCUACACUAGCGUGCGGUACGUAUAAAUUAUUUAUUUCUGUCGGGGUAAGGGGGGUGUCU